Molecule: long non-coding RNA, 417 nt
Organism: Ictalurus punctatus (channel catfish)
Lineage: Eukaryota; Metazoa; Chordata; Actinopteri; Siluriformes; Ictaluridae
Source: Ensembl
CCUCUGCAGAGUAUACCUCAAAGACUUUCCUGGAGCAGUAGAAGUAUUUAACAUCACCAGCCUGAUAAAAGAAAUGCACCGAGGAGCCAUCACCCAGGGCUGUCUGCUGCUUCUCUAGGAUGUCUUUAACCAUCUUCUCAACUGCUGCCUGUGUCAGAGGAACGUCUUCAGGAACACUCUUUGCAGAUGGGUCCCAACAUAAAUGACCUGAUGGGCCUCUCCUGAAGGACACGUUGAUUCUCCCAGGGGGAAAAAUGUUUCCUUCAUGCUGAUAGCCUGAAUAGUAACCAUAGAUAUGAACAAUUUACAUAAAUAAAUAUAUAAAAGCAUUUACAUAGUUAUGCAUAAUGUUUUUUAAAGUAAAAUUAUGGUAACUGAUUCUUUUAAAAUGACGACAGUUUUCAUGCUAUAGUAAAA